Molecule: ribosomal RNA, 497 nt
Filed under: uncultured bacterium
Lineage: Bacteria
Description: partial 16S ribosomal RNA
Rfam family: Bacterial small subunit ribosomal RNA
Source: RNAcentral
GAUGAACGCUGGCGGCGUGCCUAAUACAUGCAAGUCGAGCGAACGGACGAGAAGCUUGCUUUUCUGAUGUUAGCGGCGGACGGGUGAGUAACACGUGGAUAACCUACCUAUAAGACUGGGAUAACUUCGGGAAACCGGAGCUAAUACCGGAUAAUAUUUUGAACCGCAUGGUUCAAAAGUGAAAGACGGUCUUGCUGUCACUUAUAGAUGGAUCCGCGCUGCAUUAGCUAGUUGGUAAGGUAACGGCUUACCAAGGCAACGAUGCAUAGCCGACCUGAGAGGGUGAUCAGCCACACUGGAACUGAGACACGGUCCAGACUCCUACGGGAGGCAGCAGUAGGGAAUCUUCCGCAAUGGGCGAAAGCCUGACGGAGCAACGCCGCGUGAGUGAUGAAGGUCCUCGGAUCGUAAAACUCUGUUAUUAGGGAAGAACAUAUGUGUAAGUAACUGUGCACAUCUUGACGGUACCUAAUCAGAAAGCCACGGCUAACUACGUG